CAAUCUUGGCUGAAUGCGAUGGCUCCCAGUGCAGGGAGGGCUCGGCUCGGCGCUGCUGCGGAAUGGAAGACUGCCGCUCGCCUGCCCUUCUGUCUCUCGUCUAGACUCAAAGUGCCAUGGUUUGAGAGUCUUACCUGGCUCUCUUCAGAUAAACAGUCUUCAGGACCCUAAAGGCGCAGAGGGAAGGAUUAAGAAGAACGGCUGUGCAAUGGGUUUCUGUUCCUGUUUGCUUUUGUUUGAGACACUGAGCCCCCCUCUUACCAGGAUCAUCUGUCUGCCUGGUGGACGAGCUGCAUCCUGCCCACUGCAACAAUUUCACAUAGAGAUGUACUCAGGCUGCAGGAUGAAAAAUUGCUGGACGAGAUCAGCGGGACUCACUGAGUGGGACGAGAAAAAUAGCCAGGCCAGUGAAGAUGGAUGGGUGACAGUCCCAUCGGACACAGCGAUUCAGAACUCCAUCACCACGGAGACAAGCAGUGAAAUCGGGAAUGCUGAAAGCCCACAACAGGAUAGGGGAAAAAUAUAUUAAAAAAGAGAGUAGAUGUUUUAGAAGUUUUAGAAGUGUAAAUCGCAAGCAUUACUUUGGGGUUCUAUGAUUUUUAGUAUUACAGACACAAAUCUCAUGUUUUGUGUUGUGAUUUUUUUUAUUUAUUUUUAGAUUAAAAAAAAAUAAUAAUAAAAACAUAAUUUAACUUAAAGUAAUGUAAUGUAAAGUAAUGGAGACUAAACACAUUAAAUAAAUGUCCCCCAUCAAAAUGGUGAUAUGAUAAGUAAAUAAGGCUAAUUUGCAACCCUGUAUUGUAAUUGAAAGAUUUGCAUUUUUAUGAUUAUUUACUGUUUAUUUCGAUGUAACCUUUUAUAGUCUAUAUUUAGUUAAUGAAUGAAUGAAUGAAUUCUUGAAUUAAUUAAUUUGUUUGUGUGUUUAGUUUACUGGAAAAUAACAAUCAGGUGUUAAACUUUAUUUACUCUUUGUAUUGGUAUAUGUUGC
This 988-nucleotide long non-coding RNA is filed under the name Carassius auratus (goldfish). RNAcentral describes it as "lncRNA (ENSCARG00000042650.1)". The record is from RNAcentral. Lineage: Eukaryota; Metazoa; Chordata; Actinopteri; Cypriniformes; Cyprinidae.